AAUGAACGUUGGCGGCGUGGAUUAGGCAUGCAAGUCGAGCGAGGAGAGUUGGUAGCAAUAUCGAUUCAUUCGAGCGGCGUAAGGGGCAGUAAUACCUGGGAACGUACCCUGAGGUCGGGGAUAGCUGCUGGAAACGGCGAGUAAUACCCGAUGAUCUCGAGAGAGCAAAGGCUUGCCGCCUUCGGAGCGGCCCAGGCGAUAUUAGCUAGUUGGUGGGGUAACGGCCUACCAAGGCAUAGAUGUCUAGCGGGUGUGAGAGCACGACCCGCGCCACUGGCACUGAGACACUGGCCAGACACCUACGGGUGGCUGCAGUCGAGAAUCUUCGGCAAUGAGCGCAAGCUUGACCGAGCGACGCCGCGUGCGGGAUGAAGGCCUUCGGGUUGUAAACCGCUUUGGUCCGAGAGAAAGGGCAACUUGAUCGAUCGGAGAAACAAGGACGGGCUAAGUUCGUGCCAGCCGCCGCGGUAAAAC
This 474-nucleotide ribosomal RNA is filed under the name uncultured bacterium. Its description in RNAcentral is "bacterial SSU rRNA". It matches the Rfam family "Bacterial small subunit ribosomal RNA", at positions 29 to 526 of the family's 1533-position model. The record is from RNAcentral.